RNAcentral lists this ribosomal RNA (374 nucleotides) under uncultured bacterium. RNAcentral's name for it is "bacterial SSU rRNA". It matches the Rfam family "Bacterial small subunit ribosomal RNA", at positions 527 to 898 of the family's 1533-position model. The record is from RNAcentral.
GUAGGGUGCGAGCGUUGUCCGGAAUUAUUGGGCGUAAAGGGCUCGUAGGCGGUUUGUCGCGUCGGGAGUGAAAACACCGGGCUUAACUCGGUGCUUGCUUUCGAUACGGGCAGACUAGAGGCAUGCAGGGGAGAACGGAAUUCCUGGUGUAGCGGUGAAAUGCGCAGAUAUCAGGAGGAACACCGGUGGCGAAGGCGGUUCUCUGGGCAUGUCCUGACGCUGAGGAGCGAAAGUGUGGGGAGCGAACAGGAUUAGAUACCCUGGUAGUCCACACCGUAAACGUUGGGCGCUAGGUGUGGGGCCUAUUCCAUGGGUUCCGUGCCGCAGCUAACGCAUUAAGCGCCCCGCCUGGGGAGUACGGCCGCAAGGCUAAA